Molecule: ribosomal RNA, 250 nt
Filed under: uncultured bacterium
Lineage: Bacteria
Description: partial 16S ribosomal RNA
Rfam family: Bacterial small subunit ribosomal RNA
Source: RNAcentral
GACAGAGGGUGCAAGCGUUGUUCGGAAUUACUGGGCGUAAAGGGCGUGUAGGCGGUGGAGUGUGUCCGGCGUGAAAGACCUCGGCUCAACCGGGGAAGUGCGCUGGAUCCUACUUUGCUGGAGUGCGAGAGAGGGUGGCGGAAUUCUCAGUGUAGAGGUGAAAUUCGUAGAUACUGGGAGGAACACCGGAGGCGAAGGCGGCCACCUGGAUCGUAACUGACGCUGAAACGCGAAAGCGUGGGGAGCAAAC